CCAUGACAUAUCAGCUCUUAUUGUGAGCACACAGGACGGUGGCAUCUUUCUAAGGUUUUUUUUAUUUUCCCAGCAAUCAGUACAACCAAGUCAUCGUUAUAAGGCAUCGCCCUCUUUUGCCCACCCCCCCAGCACCAGGUGUGGCCACUAGCCUAUAUGAAGGCCCAAAAUUGUGUGUUCCUUUCUGCUCUGACAAUGGCAUGCCCAUUCGUGCGAGAUGUGGUGGAUGAAGAAGCACUUGUGCUGAGGAGAGCCUUCAGGCGAGAAAGGGUCUUCAGGGACCGGUUGGACCCACUGGCCUUCCCUGAUGACCAUCUAUAUGAAAGAUACAGGUUUUCUGCAGAUGGCAUCAGGUAUCUAUGCAGACUACUGGGUCCCAGGAUUAAGCACCGCACUGCACGGAGCCAUGCACUGAGUGUGGAGCAAAUGGUUUGUGUGGCCUUGCGCUUUUUUGCUAGUGGAGCCUUCCUGUACUCAGUGGGGGAUGCAGAACAGCUGAACAAGGCCACAAUUUGCCGCACAAUAAGGAGUGUGUGUCUGACUAUCAAAGCAUUAGCAGAUGUCUUCAUCUCCUUCCCUGGCCACAGAAGACUCUGUGACAUCAAAGAGGAGUUCUAUAGGAUUGCAGAUGGUCUGCAAUGCUGACUGUGUGAUCAGCAAUGUUGUGGCAAAAUGGCCUGGCUCAGUCCAUGACUCCAGAAUCUUUCGGGCCUCUGAAAUCUAUCACAAGGUGAAUUCUCUGGUGUGUUGCUGGGAGACAGGGGGUAUGGCUGCCAGCCUUUUCUCCUGACACCUUUCACAGACCCCCAGGAAGCACAGCAGGCCUACAACCAUGCCCAUGCCAGGACCAGGGCCAGAGUUGAAAUGACCUUUGGCCUCCUGAAGGCACGCUUUCACUGCCUUCACAAAUUAAGGGUCAGCCCUGUUAGGGCAUGUGAUAUUACUGUGGCUUGUGCUGUCCUCCACAAUGUGGCCUGCCUGAGGAAGGAGAGGGCCCCCAGAGUGCCACCAGCCAUGGACUGGGACAAUCCGGCAAUCUUCCCUGAUGACGACAGUGGUCGGCUGCUGAGGGACCAAUAUGUGUUGAAUUAUUUUAGUUAGUAUGUGUGCUUUCAAUUUUGGUUAAAUAUGUCCUGCGGUGGCAGAGGAAUUUGGUUUUUUUUGGGUUCGUUUUUUGACGAAUUUGGCCUCUUAUGAUGUUUGUGCGGUAUACUGUGUGUAAUACAAGGCUGCAGGGAGGCUACUGCAUCCAUUCAUUUGUCUGUUCAGUUGAUGUGUAUGGAUUUGUCCUGCAUUUAUUUUAGUGUGCAGACAUGCAGGGUGUGUUAUAUACAGACCUUUGAAUGUGUAUGUAUCAUUUUGUAUAAUAUGCUUGGAUUCUGUGCUUUCCAUCUUGUAGAGUCACUGUGACUUCAGUUUCGAAAGGAGCUGAUGGUUUACCUGCUUUGUUUUGUCCUUAUUCAAUAAAGGAACAUAAUGUUACACAUUGUGUUUUUAUAUUCAUA
Molecule: long non-coding RNA, 1505 nt
Organism: Oncorhynchus masou masou (cherry salmon)
Lineage: Eukaryota; Metazoa; Chordata; Actinopteri; Salmoniformes; Salmonidae
Exons: 3
Source: RefSeq, a predicted model, not a curated record